This 100-nucleotide signal recognition particle RNA is filed under the name Phycisphaeraceae bacterium. Its description in RNAcentral is "signal recognition particle sRNA small type". It matches the Rfam family "Bacterial small signal recognition particle RNA". From Rfam's summary of the family: The signal recognition particle (SRP) is a universally conserved ribonucleoprotein involved in the co-translational targeting of proteins to membranes. Archaeal SRP consists of a 7S RNA and homologues of the eukaryotic SRP19 and SRP54 proteins. The record is from RNAcentral. Lineage: Bacteria; Pseudomonadati; Planctomycetota; Phycisphaerae; Phycisphaerales; Phycisphaeraceae. RNAcentral also lists the same sequence under 1 other name.
GGUCGGGCCCGGUGCACGGGUGGUCCCAUGAACCGGGUCAGGCCUUGACCGGAGCAGCCCUAAGUGGCGUUUGCCCGGUGCCGUCGGUGUCCUGACCGUC